This 404-nucleotide ribosomal RNA is filed under the name Actinomycetes bacterium. Its description in RNAcentral is "Actinobacteria bacterium partial 16S ribosomal RNA". It matches the Rfam family "Bacterial small subunit ribosomal RNA", at positions 355 to 776 of the family's 1533-position model. Lineage: Bacteria; Bacillati; Actinomycetota; Actinomycetes. The record is from RNAcentral.
UGGGGAAUAUUGGACAAUGGGCGCAAGCCCGAUCCAGCCAUGCCGCGUGAGUGAUGAAGGCCCUAGGGUUGUAAAGCUCUUUCACCGGUGAAGAUAAUGACGGUAACCGGAGAAGAAGCCCCGGCUAACUUCGUGCCAGCAGCCGCGGUAAUACGAAGGGGGCUAGCGUUGUUCGGAUUUACUGGGCGUAAAGCGCACGUAGGCGGACUAUUAAGUCAGGGGUGAAAUCCCGGGGCUCAACCCCGGAACUGCCUUUGAUACUGGUAGUCUUGAGUUCGAGAGAGGUGAGUGGAAUUCCGAGUGUAGAGGUGAAAUUCGUAGAUAUUCGGAGGAACACCAGUGGCGAAGGCGGCUCACUGGCUCGAUACUGACGCUGAGGUGCGAAAGCGUGGGGAGCAAACAGG